AUCCCAGGGCUCAACCCUGGCUCGCUUUGGAUACUGGUAAACUAGAGUUGGAUAGAGGUAAGCGGAAUUCCAUGUGAAGCGGUGAAAUGCGUAGAUAUAUGGAAGAACACCAAAGGCGAAGGCAGCUUACUGGGUCUAUACUGACGCUGAGGGACGAAAGCGUGGGGAGCAAACAGGAUUAGAUACCCUGGUAGUCCACGCCGUAAACGAUGAUCAUUAGUCGGUGGGAGCCACUGACGCAGCU
RNAcentral lists this ribosomal RNA (244 nucleotides) under Metamycoplasma faucium. RNAcentral describes it as "Mycoplasma faucium partial 16S rRNA". It matches the Rfam family "Bacterial small subunit ribosomal RNA", at positions 599 to 853 of the family's 1533-position model. Lineage: Bacteria; Bacillati; Mycoplasmatota; Mycoplasmoidales; Metamycoplasmataceae. The record is from RNAcentral.